RNAcentral lists this ribosomal RNA (254 nucleotides) under uncultured bacterium. RNAcentral's name for it is "partial 16S ribosomal RNA". It matches the Rfam family "Bacterial small subunit ribosomal RNA", at positions 524 to 776 of the family's 1533-position model. The record is from RNAcentral.
UACAGAGGUCUCAAGCGUUUGUUCGGAUUCAUUGGGCGUAAAGGGUGUGUAGGUGGCGCGCUAAGUCGGGUGUGAAAUUUCGGAGCUUAACUCCGAAACUGCAUUCGAUACUGGCGUGCUUGAGGACUGGAGAGGAGACUGGAAUUUACGGUGUAGCAGUGAAAUGCGUAGAUAUCGUAAGGAAGACCAGUGGCGAAGGCGGGUCUCUGGACAGUUCCUGACACUGAGACACGAAGGCCAGGGGAGCAAACGGG